GACAGAGGGUGCAAACGUUGCUCGGAAUCACUGGGCGUAAAGGGCGUGUAGGCGGGCAGGUAAGUCGGGUGUGAAAUCUCGGAGCUUAACUCCGAAACUGCAUUCGAUACUGCCGUGCUUGAGGACUGGAGAGGAGACUGGAAUUUACGGUGUAGCGGUGAAAUGCGUAGAUAUCGUAAGGAAGACCAGUGGCGAAGGCGGGUCUCUGGACAGUUCCUGACGCUGAGGCACGAAGGUCAGGGGAGCAAACGGG
RNAcentral lists this ribosomal RNA (253 nucleotides) under uncultured bacterium. Its description in RNAcentral is "partial 16S ribosomal RNA". It matches the Rfam family "Bacterial small subunit ribosomal RNA", at positions 524 to 776 of the family's 1533-position model. The record is from RNAcentral.